ACGCUCGACACCUACGGGAGCCAGCAGUGGGGAAUAUUGCACAAUGGGGGAAACCCUGAUGCAGCGACGCCGCGUGAGUGAAGAAGUAUUUCGGUAUGUAAAGCUCUAUCAGCAGGGAAGAAGAUGACGGUACCUGAGUAAGAAGCCCCGGCUAACUACGUGCCANCACGCCGACGUAUCNGNGCGGNNGNAG
RNAcentral lists this ribosomal RNA (193 nucleotides) under uncultured bacterium. RNAcentral describes it as "partial 16S ribosomal RNA". It matches the Rfam family "Bacterial small subunit ribosomal RNA", at positions 328 to 540 of the family's 1533-position model. The record is from RNAcentral.